Molecule: ribosomal RNA, 199 nt
Filed under: uncultured prokaryote
Description: partial 16S ribosomal RNA
Rfam family: Bacterial small subunit ribosomal RNA
Source: RNAcentral
ACAGAGGGUGCAAGCGUUAAUCGGAUUGACUGGGCGUAAAGGGCGCGUAGGUGGUUAUUUAAGUUAGAUGUGAAAUCCCUGGGCUUAACCUAGGAACUGCAUUUAAUACUGGGUGACUAGAGUACGGGAGAGGGCAGUGGAAUUUCCGGUGUAGCGGUGAAAUGCGUAGAUAUCGGAAGGAACACCAGUGGCGAAGGCG